Molecule: ribosomal RNA, 513 nt
Filed under: uncultured bacterium
Lineage: Bacteria
Description: partial 16S ribosomal RNA
Rfam family: Bacterial small subunit ribosomal RNA
Source: RNAcentral
GAUGAACGCUGGCGGCGUGCCUAAUACAUGCAAGUCGAGCGAACAGACGAGGAGCUUGCUCCUCUGACGUUAGCGGCGGACGGGUGAGUAACACGUGGAUAACCUACCUAUAAGACUGGGAUAACUUCGGGAAACCGGAGCUAAUACCGGAUAAUAUAUUGAACCGCAUGGUUCAAUAGUGAAAGACGGUUUUGCUGUCAUUUAUAGAUGGAUUCGCGCCGCAUUAGCUAGUUGGGAAGGUAACGGCUUACCAAGGCAACGAUGCGUAGCCGACCUGAGAGGGUGAUCGGCCACACUGGAACUGAGACACGGUCCAGACUCCUACGGGAGGCAGCAGUAGGGAAUCUUCCGCAAUGGGCGAAAGCCUGACGGAGCAACGCCGCGUGAGUGAUGAAGGUCUUCGGAUCGUAAAACUCUGUUAUUAGGGAAGAACAAAUGUGUAAGUAACUAUGCACGUCUUGACGGUACCUAAUCAGAAAGCCACGGCUAACUACGUGCCAGCCGCCGCAGUAA